GGCUUCGUAGCUCAGUUGAUAGAGUAUUUGCCGCGUAUAGGCAUGCUCAUAAUGUCGCUGGUUCGAUUUCAGCCGAAGUCC
Molecule: non-coding RNA, 81 nt
Organism: Paragonimus heterotremus
Lineage: Eukaryota; Metazoa; Platyhelminthes; Trematoda; Plagiorchiida; Troglotrematidae
Source: the annotation of a GenBank genome assembly